AUACGGAGGGUGCGAGCGUUGUUCGGAAUUAUUGGGCGUAAAGAGCAUGUAGGCGGUCUGUUAAGUCUGGUGUGAAAGCCCGGGGCUCAACCCCGGAAGUGCAUUGGAUACUGGCAGACUUGAGUAUGGGAGAGGAAAGCGGAAUUCCGAGUGUAGGAGUGAAAUCCGUAGAUAUUCGGAGGAACACCAGUGGCGAAGGCGGCUUUCUGGACAAAUACUGACGCUGAGAUGCGAAAGCGUGGGGAGCAAACAGGAUUAGAUACCCCGGUAGUCC
Molecule: ribosomal RNA, 274 nt
Filed under: uncultured bacterium
Lineage: Bacteria
Description: partial 16S ribosomal RNA
Rfam family: Bacterial small subunit ribosomal RNA
Source: RNAcentral